UAGCACUCUUGUACCGUGAAACUGCGAAUGGCUCAUUAAAUCAGUUAUCGUUUAUUUGAUAGUACCCUACUACAUGGAUACCUGUGGUAAUUCUAGAGCUAAUACAUGCGCAAAACCCCGACUUCGGAAGGGGUGUAUUUAUUAGAUAAAAAACCAAUGCCCCUCGGGGCUCCUUGGUGAUUCAUAAUAACUUCACGAAUCGCAUGSCCUUGCGCCGGCGAUGGUUCAUUCAAAUUUCUGCCCUAUCAACUUUCGAUGGUAGGAUAGUGSCCUACCAUGGUGGCAACGGGUAACGGGGAAUUAGGGUUCGAUUCCGGAGAGGGAGCCUGAGAAACGGCUACCACAUCCAAGGAAGGCAGCAGGCGCGCAAAUUACCCAAUCCCGAUACGGGGAGGUAGUGACAAUAAAUACUGAUACAGGGCUCUUUUGGGUCUUGUAAUUGGAAUGAGAACAAUUUAAAUCCCUUAACGAGGAACAAUUGGAGGGCAAGUCUGGUGCCAGCAGCCGCGGUAAUUCCAGCUCCAAUAGCGUAUAUUAAAGUUGUUGCAGUUAAAAAGCUCGUAGUUGAACCUUGGGCCCGUCCUGCCGGUCCGCCUCACCGCGAGUACUGGUCCGGAUGGGCCUUUCUUUCUGGGGAAUCCCAUGGCCUUCACUGGCUGUGGCGGGGAACCAGGACUUUUACUGUGAAAAAAUUAGAGUGUUCAAAGCAGGCCUUUGCUCGGAUACAUUAGCAUGGAAUAAUARAAUAGGACGUGCGGUUCUAUUUUGUUGGUUUCUAGGACCGCCGUAAUGAUUAAUAGGGAUAGUCGGGGGCGUCAGUAUUCAGCUGUCAGAGGUGAAAUUCUUGGAUUUGCUGAAGACUAACUACUGCGAAAGCAUUCGCCAAGGAUGUUUUCAUUAAUCAGGGAACGAAAGUUAGGGGAUCGAAGACGAUCAGAUACCGUCGUAGUCUUAACCAUAAACUAUGCCGACUAGGGAUCGGGCGGGGUUUCUAUGAUGACCCGCUCGGCACCUUACGAGAAAUCAAAGUUUUUGGGUUCUGGGGG
Molecule: ribosomal RNA, 1046 nt
Filed under: Penicillium sp. CCF3828
Lineage: Eukaryota; Fungi; Ascomycota; Eurotiomycetes; Eurotiales; Aspergillaceae
Description: SSU rRNA
Rfam family: Eukaryotic small subunit ribosomal RNA
Source: RNAcentral